Molecule: ribosomal RNA, 138 nt
Filed under: [Phyllanthus] urinaria subsp. nudicarpus
Lineage: Eukaryota; Viridiplantae; Streptophyta; Magnoliopsida; Malpighiales; Phyllanthaceae
Description: Phyllanthus urinaria subsp. nudicarpus partial 18S ribosomal RNA
Rfam family: Eukaryotic small subunit ribosomal RNA
Source: RNAcentral
CCUGUGAAGUGUUCGGAUCGAGGCGACGUGGGCGGUUCGCCGCCGACGACGUCGCGAGAAGUCCACUGAACCUUAUCAUUUAGAGGAAGGAGAAGUCGUAACAAGGUUUCCGUAGGUGAACCUGCGGAAGGAUCAUUG